Molecule: long non-coding RNA, 932 nt
Filed under: Dicentrarchus labrax (European seabass)
Lineage: Eukaryota; Metazoa; Chordata; Actinopteri; Moronidae
Description: lncRNA (ENSDLAG00005031749.1)
Rfam family: mir-10 microRNA precursor family (bases 730-801)
Source: RNAcentral
AUGAAGGAGAGGAUUGGAUUUGAGGAGAUACUGACGGGGGUGCACAGCUGCAACAGUCCCCUCCAUCUCCACACCAGGACUAAUCCCCCCCCCCUCUCUCUCUCUCUCCCUCCCUGUGUGUUUGACUCUCCCUCUGUCGCACUCUCUCUGCUUUCUGCCUCUCGGAGGGGUGGGGGGUGCCAUAUGGGAGCUCAGAAAAAUGGAAGUGGAGCGGAGAUAGACAAGAGAGGAAUCUGUCAUUCUCGGGCUCGGAUGUCGGGGAUCUAUGUGAGAGGCGAACUAAAAUCUGACCCCAGGCAGCGAAACCCCCAGAGCAAGACACUUCCAUGAAGGGUAAGUUAUCACAAUCCUUCACCAUCUGUUUGAUGAACUUUGAUUUUUUUGGGGGUGAAUCUCAACAAAGGCUCUUGUUGCAGUUUCUCUAAAUGACAGCUGAACUGAACUCAAAACCCUUUUGCUCCAGACUUUGGACUCGCUGUCUCUUUCACGCUCUAUAUGAACGCUGAAGAACGCCUACACUGUCAGCUGACGUUCAGCACACUAGGCAAGAAGUUUUUAGGUCAAGUCACGUUGUGUGAUUGGCAUCUCUCUCUAAAUCACAUCAUCUGAGACACGCCACUCACAUUCACUUUCAUAGUUCUUUGUCACAUCAGAGAGUACAGUGCUCAGAUUUUAUGAUACAUUUUUUGUCAUUUAUUCAGUUACUUUGAUACUUUGGCCAUAACCAUUUGGCACAAACCCGUAGAUCCGAUCUUGUGGCAAAUCUGACAGCACAAGCUCGCCUCUGUGGGUCUUUGUCAUUGUGGUGUGAACGUCGUCUUUUAACCUUUUUUUUUUCUUUUUGCUUGAAUAACCUGUUUGGUGAUAUGAGUGUAGUGUAAAGUGUAAAAUAUAAAUAAUAGUCUCAUGGCAGUACAUAUUAAACAAAUGAU